RNAcentral lists this unclassified non-coding RNA (248 nucleotides) under Mortierella alpina. RNAcentral describes it as "partial internal transcribed spacer region". The stretch from base 1 to 46 matches the Rfam family "Eukaryotic small subunit ribosomal RNA", at positions 1786 to 1831 of the family's 1831-position model. The record is from RNAcentral. Lineage: Eukaryota; Fungi; Mortierellomycota; Mortierellomycetes; Mortierellales; Mortierellaceae. RNAcentral also lists the same sequence under 2 other names.
AAGUCGUAACAAGGUUUCCGUAGGUGAACCUGCGGAAGGAUCAUUCAUAAUCAAGUGUUUUUAUGGCACUUUAUAAAAAUCCAUAUCCACCUUGUGUGCAAUGUCAUCUCACUGGAGGUCGCGGCUGUAAAAAUCCGUUGGCCACCUUUGGGAUUUAUAUCUACUCAGAACUUUAGUGAUUUUGUCUGAACCAUAUUAUGAAUACUUAAUUCAAAAUACAACUUUCAACAACGGAUCUCUUGGCUCUC